AUUUCUAGUUUUCUUUAACUUGUAUCCCUACAACAAAACAUGGUUGGAAAUUGGCAUUGUGUAGCCAUCUCGAUCCAUAUUGUCUUCAAUGCAUUAGAUUUCCACUGAUCAAGCAACAUUUAGGAAAUCCAUUGCCAUCAUUUAUGUUAGUGAAAUAAAUAAUGAGCACUUGUGUAUCACUUGCAAAGGAAGCUUUAAUAUCUCUUAUACUUGUAUGAGAAUCAAUUUUGCCAACUUACUUUCCUUGUAACAUAUUGUAUCUAUUGGCCAUGUUUAAUUCUAUGCUUCCUUCUACUAUUUGCCAAGUUCAUAUCAUGCACAUGCAUGCUUAUAUCCCAUGGUACAUACACACUUGUCACUUGAUAUAUUUGUAAGAGAAGGAUGACAUCAUUAACCAUCUAUGAUGGCUCUUGCAGAUAAAGAUUCUACUGAUCUAUAAUCUGUAUAACUCUGCUCCUGAAGAUCUGCUGCCACAUUAUUUUUCUUGCGUAGUUUAAUUAUCUAUUACCCUUUUCUAUGGCAUUUAUCUGUGUUCUCUAUAGAGAAAUGGAAAGAUUUCAUAUUAUCCUUUUUUCCCCCAAAAAAAUUUCAAUAUUGGUUAAAUAUUUUUCUGAAUUGCUUCGUGGAACAGUUAUGUUUCGGAGACAGAGAGA
RNAcentral lists this unclassified non-coding RNA (653 nucleotides) under Hevea brasiliensis (rubber tree). The record is from RNAcentral. Lineage: Eukaryota; Viridiplantae; Streptophyta; Magnoliopsida; Malpighiales; Euphorbiaceae.